Molecule: ribosomal RNA, 301 nt
Filed under: uncultured bacterium
Lineage: Bacteria
Description: partial 16S ribosomal RNA
Rfam family: Bacterial small subunit ribosomal RNA
Source: RNAcentral
CAGUCGCCGCGGGAAUACGUAGGGUGCAAGCGUUAAUCGGAAUUACUGGGCGUAAAGCGUGCGCAGGCGGUUCGCUAAGACAGAUGUGAAAUCCCCGGGCUUAACCUGGGAACUGCAUUUGUGACUGGCGGGCUAGAGUAUGGCAGAGGGGGGUAGAAUUCCACGUGUAGCAGUGAAAUGCGUAGAGAUGUGGAGGAAUACCGAUGGCGAAGGCAGCCCCUGGGCCAAUACUGACGCUCAUGCACGAAAGCGUGGGGAGCAAACAGGAUUAGAUACCCGGGUAGUCCCUGUCUCUUAUCAC